AGGGAGAAUUCAGCUCAACCCCCCGACUUGAAGCAGAUCAAACCUCUGAAUUUCAGUUAUGUUAGCCAGAACCAUACCCCAAAGAGGGCAAUAACAGCGAAUCUGCCUUUACAUGCCUUGGGAGCAUCCCUAACCGGGAUGGCAGAGCUGUCGACCAGCCAAGACAGGGUUAAGGGGCAGCCUGGCCCCCACAAGGGUUUGGGGUUUAAAGGCAGGGGCGGGCAGUAUUUCCUUUCUCCCAGGUGGAGGGGAAGGCUGGGAGAUGUCCGAGGCUGCGCAGGGCUGGAGGGAAGCCACGGCUUUUUUUUUUUUUUUUUUCUCUCUCUCCACGGUGAAGCUCAAGCAAACUGCAGUCAGGAGAGCUGUGAAGCCCUGGUUUGAGGCCCAGGUCUGGUUCAAGGCCUGGACUUUCCUCUCUGAAGCUCUGGAUGACCUGGGACCCAAGAAGCGAUGGGGCAGCCACAGCAUGAAGGACCGCGGUAUGCACCGGCCGAACAUCUGCUGGUGGUAUGGGCUGUGUCACAACAAGGAGCGCUUUAAUCACGUAAUGAAAGCCACAUUCCUGUAAUUGUGUAAUAUAUGGACACAGCUCCGUAACAUCGCUUGUCUGAAUGCGAUACAAAUUGGAUGCAGAAGCGUGGUCUCUUUGGGAACAGCUCGUUGGAGGAUUGUUAUUUUUAUUUAUAAUACAACUUCAGUUGACUCCCUCCUCACUUUAUGUCCAUGUAUUUUACCUUGACGUUGCCUUGGGAUGAACCCCCCAAAGCUCUGCUUAGUUUGACCCUGUCUAGCACCCAGGUGGUGGCACAGCUUGUGGGCUGGCUGAGUCCUGAUUCAAUGGUAUCCACAACUGGGUGGGGAAUAACCAGCUGCAGCAGUUUCAGAUGGCACAAACCCUUGUUCUUCAGAGCGUGAAGCAACCACGGGUUGAUAGGGAUUAAAAAAGGGUGGCACAGGUCUUGUAGCCUUUCCAGAAAUAAACACUGCUGGUCAGAAAAACA
Molecule: long non-coding RNA, 1001 nt
Filed under: Anas platyrhynchos platyrhynchos (common mallard)
Lineage: Eukaryota; Metazoa; Chordata; Aves; Anseriformes; Anatidae
Description: lncRNA (ENSAPLG00000025343.1)
Source: RNAcentral